Molecule: ribosomal RNA, 445 nt
Filed under: uncultured bacterium
Lineage: Bacteria
Description: partial 16S ribosomal RNA
Rfam family: Bacterial small subunit ribosomal RNA
Source: RNAcentral
GUAGGGAAUAUUGGGCAAUGGAUGCAAGUCUGACCCAGCCAUCCCGCGUGCCGGAAGAAGGCCCUCAGGGUUGUAAACGGCUUUUGACGGUGAAGAACAGACAGGAUGCGUCCUGUUUUGACGGUAGCCGUUGAAUAAGCACCGGCUAACUCCGUGCCAGCAGCCGCGGUAAUACGGAGGGUGCGAGCGUUGUCCGGAUUUAUUGGGUUUAAAGGCUGCGUAGGCUGGAAGGUCAGUCAGCGGUGAAAAGCUAUCGCUUAACGAUAGUCUUGCCGCAGAUACUUCCUUUCUUGGAUGAGGAGGAGGCCACUGGAACGGAUGGUGUAGCGGUGAAAUGCAUAGAUAUCAUCCAGAACACCGAUUGCGAAGGCAGGUGGCUGUACCUUAAUCGACGCUGAUGCACGAAAGCAUGGGGAGCAAACAGGAUUAGAAACCCUAGUAGUCC